GCUUAGAUGGUUCAACGGUAGAAUCGCUCGUUGCCAAGCUGCAAGUUCGAGUGGACCGGGGUUCGACUCCCCGUCUAAGCA
Atractiella rhizophila is the source of this 81-nucleotide non-coding RNA. Lineage: Eukaryota; Fungi; Basidiomycota; Atractiellomycetes; Atractiellales; Hoehnelomycetaceae. The record is from the annotation of a GenBank genome assembly.